GGGCUCAUAGACUGCUGUACACUUCUGCCUGGAGGACUGGAGCACUAGGUGUAGCUAAUUCCCCCCUUUGAGCUCACCUUUACAGGUAUGUAACAGUGAGGAGGCAUGGUCUCCGUCAGAGACUGACAGGGAGGGACGGCCACACAGCCUACACAAUGGACUAGAGUUUCCGUCAACAUAGCUAACUUCCUUUGGGGAGGUGGUAUUCCUACAAUAAUAGAAAACCCCCUUCUGUUGGUGCAGGUUGCGUCUGCAGUAUGGGGUAUAUUGGUCUCUAUUGUGUAGACAUAUCCUAAGCAAUGGCGGAGCUAAUAAUCCACUUCCAAAGUGCAAGAGAAGUUCCAGUCUGUGAACUCUACAACACCAAAGUAUUCCGGAGAAUUAGGUCAGGGCCCCUGCAAGCUAGAUAAGACCCAAGGGAGGCAGCAUAAGGUCCACCAUAGAAAUGUAAAUUUAUUUUGGAGCCAAGCCCUAAUGGGAUUGUUAAAACAACGUGGUAACAAGUCGAUUAUUCUGGUGACUAUGACAAAGGGGGCCCUAUUCUCCAUUGCCCUACACCUCAUGUAGUCAUUUACAUAGCGUAAUGUGCCACCAAAUGAGAAGAGGGGGAGGGGUAUAGUACAUCCUCUGUGCACUGGCUUGUCUAGAUGGACAGUCAGUGUGUGGCAAGCCACAGUAUAAAUCUACAAUGCACCAGUGAGCCAACCACUAGCUACCCGUGUGGACCCUGCUACUGAGUACCAAAGUUCCCUGGAGCACUUUGACCUACUCCUGUUUCAAACAGCUGUAAAUAAGUGUAGCAGGGUCCACAGAGACAGUUGGAGUAUGUCUACACUACAGUCAGACAGCUGUGGCUGGCCCAUGCUAGCUGACUUGGGCUCACAGGACUUGGGCUAAGGGGCUGUUUAACUGCAGUAUAGAUGUUUGGGCUUGGGCUUCAGCUCAAACUCUAGGACCCUCCCAUAUUGCAGAUCCUGGAAUCCAGCCUGAGCCUGAAUGUCUGCAAUGCAAAUAAACAGUCCCUUAGCCUGAGCCCCUUAGCCCGAGCCAGCUGGCAUGGGCCAGCCAUGGGUUUUUAAUUGCAGUGUAGACACACCCUUGGAGCCAGCAGGCUAGUGCACUGUAGAUUGACACCCCAGCUUGCUGUGCACUAACUCUCUGUCUAGACAAGCACUAAUAUUCUGCAGUCCUUUCCCUUUCAGCAUUAUGCCUCCAUGUAAAACAAUAUUAUUGCUAUUUUUGUAGGCACAAUUAGGAUAUAAACAUGUUAAAAUAUUUGGCAGUAGCUCAUGAAAUAAUAGAAUGCAGUUUUGGAACUGGUGAAUCCAAUAUACUGUAGAGGAUGUAACGGGAUAGAAGAAAUGAAGUUAAUAAAAAAAAAAAAAGAGAGAGAGAGAGAAAGAGCUAGAUACAUCUCAUUAACAGCUUAGUGCUGUAUUUGCAUUUUUGUUUAAUACUCAAAUAUUGAAGCACUGCAGAUGAGCCAUAACUUUAAAUUCUCUAAAAAAUAAAUACAAAUUAGAUAAAUGCAGAUGAUAUGCAAAUAGUCACCUGGAACCAGUCUAUUGUUCAGCAGUUAACGAGAACGGGAAAGUGAUGCAGGUACUCAUGAAAAGCCUUUCCUAUAAGACUGAAUGCCAAUGUAUAAGUUCUUUCUGAAUCUUUCCUUGAAUUUCUUAUACAGGAUAUACGAGGCUGGCUCAUUAACUGGGAGAAGUUGAUGCAUCUGUAGGUGGGGAAAUACAUGCAGAAAAUUGCAACCAUAUAAAGAGCAGAAAAACACAGUAUAAUUGCACAAUACUUGGGCUAUUAUAAGAAAAAAGAAAUAACCUUUUCUAUUUCCAGUUUUGCUUGAUCAUCGAAUAAAGUAGGAAUAUCACCAGCACUUAGGAUCGUAUUUAGAUCUUCUAAAAAUGACUCCUCCUAGAGCAGAAGAGACAGUUUCUUCAUUUAUACCCCAGAUUACAAAAGCAUUUUAAAAAUCAACUGUUCACUUUCAGUUUAUUGCCUGUCCCGGUAUUCCUGGAUUGGUUGUUAGUUAUGAAAGAGAUUUAUGCUUUAAAACCAUCGUAUUUAUUUCCUUCCCUUUAACAAGUAACUAUAAAAUAAGUAUCAUUUUCCUACUGUGCAUUUUGAGUGUCAGAAUAGGCAAUUUAAAUGUGAAGCUUCAAAACACUAUUAAUGCUGCAAUUUUGUGACAAAACACCUCUCCAUUUUCAGUGCUUCUUGCUCUAUUUCUUCAUUCCUAAUGAUUUAUUGUAUUAUUUCUUUGACUGUAAUGGUUAGGGCCCUAAGCGUUAAGCUUAUUUUUUUAUUUCCCUCACAAAUUAUUUUAUUUUAAUCAUGGCUGUUUCUGCCUUUAUUUGAUGAUCAGCAAAGGGGAACUGAGUGGAAGUCCCAUUUUGCCCAGCACCUUUGUGAGAUUGUCUCUCCAUUCACUCACUGUGUAUGAAACCUGAAUACUAAGAUGGUAGAGCUCUCAGUUUGCCAUAAAUGUCUCCAGUCUCGUUACAGAGUGCCGACCAUCGCCUUCCAUACCUGAUGACAAGAGGGGAAAAACUGUCACAAUCACUAACAUGAAAAUGCAAGUAAUGAUAGAGAUUAGAGAGUUUGUUGAUCAUUAGCUCAGCUUCAUGUGCUCUAAAUCCUUCAAAUGGAAUGAAUUCAGUUUCAAGAAAAACACUGUUGUUCAAUAAGCUUACCCAUCUCUGCUUUCCUCACAAAUAUACUACAAGCACAAGUAACCUCUCAGUACUCAGUGUGUGGUAUAUACAACUGCAGGCUAUGGGAAAAUACAUCUGCCUCACUGAGGUAAAAUGUAAAUUAUCCAGCAACCUGCUGCUGUUUGAAGAUAUCUAAAGACCAUUUAAAUUUUAAAUAGGCAUUCAAAAUCCAGAGGACAUACCACCAUGCCUACUUUAUAAAUAUAUUUGCACUGACAACAUUCAUGGAAGAAUGCAUUGAACACACUGGUAAUUUAUAGAAGUACAAUGUACUUUCAGUGUAUUUUGACAGGUUAAAAGGAAUGACUAACAUACAAAAAAUUUAGCCUGAAAACUAGGCCAUCUGUAAAAAAACAAAUUAUGCACCAUAUACAUACACACACUGUGUGUGAGAAAUAAUUUGGUUUAUAUAAUAACACUAAUAAUAUUUAGCUCUUGCAUAAUACUUUUCAUAAUUCAACCUCAAUUAAUUAUUACCAUCAAUCUUUCCUUUUACAGAAGGGGAAACUAGGGCACAGAGACUUGAAGUAGCUUUUCCAAGGUCAUGCAGCAGGUCCAUGGUAGGGACCAGGUCUCCUGGUCCCUAAUCAUUACCUCCUCGACAUGGCUGCUAUAAAUGCAUUUUAGCAAGGAUGUAUAGCCACUAUUAAAGCUAACAGCAAUAUUUCUCUCUGGAUCAACUGGCCUGUAUCCCCAUGAAGGAGCGUAAGCUCCACCAGCCUAAAAAAUGAUAGUCCUCUAGAGUGCACCUGAAUAAGGGACUCCCAGUCCCAUGCCUUUGAAACACAGCUCUUAAGGGCUCUCGGUAAUGAAGUCCAUAGAGUACCACAGAGGGCCUGGUUCCUUGUGUGAAUGUCCUGAAAGGUGGAAAAUUCUUUGUAGGUCUUGGGACAUCUAUGAGUUGCGAGGGCUAUGCCCCAUGCUCACUCCAUAUGUGGCCGGAUUCUAGCCAUACUUCAUGACGUGUCUAAAACUCUGUUGUCUCAUGACCACCGUUUUUUUAAUACCUAGCUUUCAGUAUCCCACGGGUUUUAUUGUAGGGAGACCUGAGUCUUCAGAGAGCCUGAAACAAUAGCCUUGCAUUUCUAUAAGCGAAAUAUUAAAUAAAUGUAAUUUUUUAGAGAGCUCUUUUGAAAGAACACAUCAACUAAAAUUUGUUCCCUUUGUCCAAAAUAGCCACCUUUGUGUUCUCUGAUCCCUGCCAUCAGUCACAGGUCAUCCCAUCUCGGCCAUCACAACCCAUCCCUGACACCCCUUUCUCCACAAUACACACUUUCACUUUUUAGUUCAUUCAUAUUGGUUAUUUCAUUGUAGGGCUGUUCUGACUUUUCAUUCAUCUUUGAAGAUACAGAAUCAUCUAGGAAAAGGCUGCACUUCAUAUCAUCUCCUAUCCAGUGCCCAAUAAACAAAGAGAAUGCAAGGUUGAAGAAGUCCACCUUUCAGCUGGAGCAGAAGGCGUUACUCUGCUGAGAAGUUACACAUUGCUCUUUCCUGUGGAGAAAAUUAAAAACAAGCUUUCUGGCAGUUCCAGCUCUGCAGCACAUUCUAGAUACUGAAUUGUGUCAUACUGUUUAAAAGACGGACUACAAUACAUCUCCUGAAAUGGAAGACGCUGUGACUUUUUAAGUGCAAAGGGAUCAAUGAAAGGAUGACAGGAAUAUGGACUUGCCUGAGACUGCUCUUGACACACAAACCCGGACACUGUUACUAGCUGUAGCAUACUGUAAGAGUUGGUAGUUUAUGACUAAAAUUAAAAACUAUAAACAUGAAUAUGGCCAUAUAG
This is a long non-coding RNA of Dermochelys coriacea (leatherback sea turtle), 4506 nucleotides long. RefSeq lists it as uncharacterized. The transcript has 3 exons. Lineage: Eukaryota; Metazoa; Chordata; Testudines; Dermochelyidae. The record is from RefSeq and is a predicted model, not a curated record.